This 58-nucleotide ribosomal RNA is filed under the name Potentilla villosa. Its description in RNAcentral is "partial 18S ribosomal RNA". The record is from RNAcentral. Lineage: Eukaryota; Viridiplantae; Streptophyta; Magnoliopsida; Rosales; Rosaceae.
GAUCCUGCCAGUAGUCAUAUGCWGUCUCAAAGAUUAAGCCAUGCAUGUGUAAGUAUGA